This 207-nucleotide ribosomal RNA is filed under the name uncultured bacterium. Its description in RNAcentral is "partial 16S ribosomal RNA". It matches the Rfam family "Bacterial small subunit ribosomal RNA", at positions 568 to 774 of the family's 1533-position model. The record is from RNAcentral.
CUCGUAGGCGGCUUGUCGCGUCCGGUGUGAAAGUCCAUCGCUUAACGGUGGAUCUGCGCCGGGUACGGGCAGGCUAGAAUGCGGUAGGGGAGACUGGAAUUCCCGGUGUAACGGUGGAAUGUGUAGAUAUCGGGAAGAACACCAAUGGCGAAGGCAGGUCUCUGGGCCGUUAUUGACGCUGAGGAGCGAAAGCGUGGGGAGCGAACA